RNAcentral lists this long non-coding RNA (203 nucleotides) under Neodiprion pinetum (white pine sawfly). RNAcentral's name for it is "uncharacterized LOC124223235". The record is from RNAcentral. Lineage: Eukaryota; Metazoa; Arthropoda; Insecta; Hymenoptera; Diprionidae.
UGACGGUAGUCUCCCUGACUUAUGUAAUAAUUCUCAGGAAAAGACAAGAAUACUCAUAGAGGAAAAAUUCUCGGCAUUAACCACACUAUUGGCUGAGAUAUUGGUCACUCAACAAUUAGUGGAUCGACGUUUAGCUGAGAUUGAAAAGAAAGUGGGUCAACAUGGAACUGUAGGUCACGGAAAAGAUUUUAAAAAGGUUACAG